UACAACCAUAUCAUAUUGAAACAUUGGUUCCCGUAUGUUUACUGGAGUUAAGCAAUGUCAAGCCUGGUCAGUACCUAGAUGGGUGACCACUUCGGAACACCAGGUGCUGUAAG
Acanthosepion pharaonis is the source of this 113-nucleotide non-coding RNA. Lineage: Eukaryota; Metazoa; Mollusca; Cephalopoda; Sepiida; Sepiidae. The record is from the annotation of a GenBank genome assembly.